GUUCGCCUAGCCAUGCGAGUCAUAUGUUCUUCGUGAACAUGGCGUACUGCUUAGUAACACGUGGAUAACCUGCCCUUGGGUCCGGCAUAACCCCGGGAAACUGGGGAUAAUUCCGGAUAACGCAUAUAUGCUGGAAUGCUUUCUGCGUAAAAUGGAUUCGUCUGCCCAAGGAUGGGUCUGCGGCCUAUCAGGUAGUAGUGGGUGUAAUGUACCUACUAGCCGACGACGGGUACGGGUUGUGAGAGCAAGAGCCCGGAGAUGGAUUCUGAGACAUGAAUCCAGGCCCUACGGGGCGCAGCAGGCGCGAAAACUUUACAAUGCGGGAAACCGUGAUAAGGGGACACCGAGUGCCAGCAUCAUAUGCUGGCUGUCCGGGUGUGUAAAAUACACCCGUUAGCAAGGGCCGGGCAAGACCGGUGCCAGCCGCCGCGGUAACACCGGCGGCCCGAGUGGUGAUCGUGAUUAUUGGGUCUAAAGGGUCCGUAGCCGGUUUGGUCAGUCCUCCGGGAAAUCUGAUAGCUCAACUAUUAGGCUUUCGGGGGAUACUGCCAGGCUUGGAACCGGGAGAGGUAAGAGGUACUACAGGGGUAGGAGUGAAAUCUUGUAAUCCCUGUGGGACCACCUGUGGCGAAGGCGUCUUACCAGAACGGGUUCGACGGUGAGGGACGAAAGCUGGGGGCACGAACCGGAUUAGAUACCCGGGUAGUCCCAGCCGUAAACGAUGCUCGCUAGGUGUCAGGCAUGGCGCGACCGUGUCUGGUGCCGCAGGGAAGCCGUGAAGCGAGCCACCUGGGAAGUACGGCCGCAAGGCUGAAACUUAAAGGAAUUGGCGGGGGAGCACAACAACGGGUGGAGCCUGCGGUUUAAUUGGACUCAACGCCGGACAACUCACCGGGGGCGACAGCAAUAUGUAGGCCAAGCUGAAGACUUUGCCUGAAUC
Molecule: ribosomal RNA, 940 nt
Filed under: uncultured archaeon
Lineage: Archaea
Description: bacterial SSU rRNA
Rfam family: Archaeal small subunit ribosomal RNA
Source: RNAcentral